UACGAAGGGGGCUAGCGUUGUUCGGAAUUACUGGGCGUAAAGCGCACGUAGGCGGUGUUCCAUGUCAGAGGUGAAAGCCUGGGGCUCAACUCCAGAAUUGCCUUUGAAACGGGAACGCUUGAGUCCGAGAGAGGAUGGCGGAAUUCCUAGUGUAGAGGUGAAAUUCGUAGAUAUUAGGAAGAACACCGGUGGCGAAGGCGGCCAUCUGGCUCGGUACUGACGCUCAGGUGCGAAAGCGUGGGGAGCAAACAGG
RNAcentral lists this ribosomal RNA (253 nucleotides) under uncultured bacterium. Its description in RNAcentral is "partial 16S ribosomal RNA". It matches the Rfam family "Bacterial small subunit ribosomal RNA", at positions 524 to 776 of the family's 1533-position model. The record is from RNAcentral.